This 468-nucleotide ribosomal RNA is filed under the name uncultured bacterium. RNAcentral describes it as "partial 16S ribosomal RNA". It matches the Rfam family "Bacterial small subunit ribosomal RNA", at positions 28 to 507 of the family's 1533-position model. The record is from RNAcentral.
GACGAACGCUGGCGGCGUGCUUAACACAUGCAAGUCGAACGGAAAGGCCCUGCUUUUGUGUGGUGCUCGAGUGGCGAACGGGUGAGUAACACGUGAGUAACCUGCCCUUGACUUUGUGAUAACUUCAGGAAACUGGGGCUAAUAACGGAUAGGAGCUCCUGCUGCAUGGUGGGGGUUGGAAAGUUUAGGCGUUUGUGGAUGUACUCGCGGCUUAUCAGCUUGCUAGUUGGGUAGUGGAUUACCAAGGCUUUGACGGGUAGACGGCCUGAGAGGGUGACCGGCACCGUCGGGACUGAGAUACGGCCCAGACUCGUACGGGACGCAGCAGUGGGGAGUAUUACACAACGGGAGGAAGCCAGAUGUAGCAACGCCGCGUGCGGGAUGACGGCCUUCGGGUUGUAAACCGAUUUCGCCUGAGACGAAGAGUGAGUGACGGUAAUGGAUAAAGAAGCACCGGCUAACUACGUG